ACUGGUCAAAUCUUGCGGUAGAGC
This 24-nucleotide non-coding RNA is filed under the name Arabidopsis thaliana (thale cress). The record is from RNAcentral. Lineage: Eukaryota; Viridiplantae; Streptophyta; Magnoliopsida; Brassicales; Brassicaceae.